UAGUCCACGCCCUAAACGAUGUCAACUAGCUGUUGGGGCCUUCGGGCCUUGGUAGCGCAGCUAACGCGUGAAGUUGACCGCCUGGGGAGUACGGUCGCAAGAUUAAAACUCAAAGGAAUUGACGGGGACCCGCACAAGCGGUGGAUGAUGUGGAUUAAUUCGAUGCAACGCGAAAAACCUUACCUACCCUUGACAUGUCUGGAAUUCCGAAGAGAUUUGGAAGUGCUCGCAAGAGAACCGGAACACAGGUGCUGCAUGGCUGUCGUCAGCUCGUGUCGUGAGAUGUUGGGUUAAGUCCCGCAACGAGCGCAACCCUUGUCAUUAGUUGCUACGAAAGGGCACUCUAAUGAGACUGCCGGUGACAAACCGGAGGAAGGUGGGGAUGACGUCAAGUCCUCAUGGCCCUUAUGGGUAGGGCUUCACACGUCAUACAAUGGUCGGGACAGAGGGUCGCCAACCCGCGAGGGGGAGCCAAUCCCAGAAACCCGAUCGUAGUCCGGAUCGCAGUCUGCAACUCGACUGCGUGAAGUCGGAAUCGCUAGUAAUCGCGGAUCAGCAUGUCGCGGUGAAUACGUUCCCGGGUCUUGUACACACCGCCCGUCACACCAUGGGAGUGGGUUUUACCAGAAGUAGUUAGCCUAACCGUAAGGGGGGCGAUUACCACGGUAGGAUUCAUGACUGGGGUGAAGU
RNAcentral lists this ribosomal RNA (690 nucleotides) under Achromobacter sp. RNAcentral's name for it is "bacterial SSU rRNA". It matches the Rfam family "Bacterial small subunit ribosomal RNA", at positions 791 to 1486 of the family's 1533-position model. The record is from RNAcentral. Lineage: Bacteria; Pseudomonadati; Pseudomonadota; Betaproteobacteria; Burkholderiales; Alcaligenaceae.